AGUGUUGGUUUUUGUGCGUAAUUGACUGGUAAAGUGCGACUGAGAAAUUUUGGAGUUUGCUUCUUCUUCUUAUAUAUGAAAAUGGAAGAUAUGACCUUGGAUAUUCUUGUUCUUGUUCUUCUCGCCUCUCAAGGAUUGAAGAAGAUAGUCACUGAAUUCCUUUAGUAAGUGGGUUUUCAAGGAUUUUGCUUGUAGUGUUGUAAAUGGGAAAACACUAGUGGACCAAAGAUAUUGAUGAGCAAAUUGGGGAUAAUCAACCAGGCUGUGUGUGGGGUGCCCUUCAUGCUCUUGACUAUCAUCACUGGCAUUACAAUGUUAAAAAGCUGCUACCCCACACGAAGCACAAUGGACCAAGACAUGUGAAAGUUGUGAAGGAAUGUGCAUGAGGUCGUUUCAUGCCACUGUUGAAGCUGGUUCUGAAUCCAUAUGUGGAUCUCUCUGCCUUUCUGAUGAACUAGUAGAUUGAUUGGAUCUGCAUCUGAUUUGCCCAAAAUUUUACCUUCUAAAUGCCUUGUGGGUCUUUCCCUGUGUUUCUGCAACAUGUGGUCUCUUUUACCAUCCACAUUGUGUUGCAAAACUGUUCCACCGUAAGAGUGCAGCUGAGGCAGAAGAGCUUCGGAAGAAGAUAGCUUCUGGGGAAUUUUUCACAUGUCCCAUUCAUAAAUGCAUUGUCUGCAAAUUGGGUGAAAAUAAGUUGGAUCCUGAUUUGCAAUUUGCAGUUUGCAGACGUUGUCCCAAGUCGUACCGCA
This is a long non-coding RNA of Camellia sinensis, 749 nucleotides long. RefSeq lists it as uncharacterized. NCBI's taxonomy places the organism in Eukaryota, Viridiplantae, Streptophyta, Magnoliopsida, Ericales, Theaceae. The record is from RefSeq and is a predicted model, not a curated record.